Molecule: ribosomal RNA, 499 nt
Filed under: uncultured bacterium
Lineage: Bacteria
Description: partial 16S ribosomal RNA
Rfam family: Bacterial small subunit ribosomal RNA
Source: RNAcentral
AUUGAACGCUGGCGGCAUGCCUUACACAUGCAAGUCGAACGGCAGCACGGGGCAACCUGGUGGCGAGUGGCGAACGGGUGAGUAAUGCAUCGGAACGUACCUUUCAGUGGGGGAUAACGUAGCGAAAGUUACGCUAAUACCGCAUAUUCUGUGAGCAGGAAAGCAGGGGAUCGCAAGACCUUGCGCUGAUUGAGCGGCCGAUGUCAGAUUAGCUAGUUGGUGAGGUAAAGGCUCACCAAGGCGACGAUCUGUAGCGGUGUCUGAGAGGAUGAUCCGCCACACUGGAACUGAGACACGGUCCAGACUCCUACGGGAGGCAGAAGUGGGGAAUUUUGGACAAUGGGGGCAACCCUGAUCCAGCCAUGCCGCGUGAGUGAAGAAGGCCUUCGGGUUGUAAAGCUCUCUCGGCCGGGAAGAAAUCGCACGGGCUAAUACCCUGUGUGGAUGACGGUACCGGAAUAAGAAGCACCGGCUAACUACGUGCCAGCCGCCGCCGUAA